This 338-nucleotide unclassified non-coding RNA is filed under the name soil metagenome. Its description in RNAcentral is "partial contains 5.8S ribosomal RNA, internal transcribed spacer 2, and large subunit ribosomal RNA". The stretch from base 1 to 120 matches the Rfam family "5.8S ribosomal RNA", at positions 35 to 154 of the family's 154-position model. The record is from RNAcentral.
GAUGAAGAACGCAGCGAAAUGCGAUAAGUAGUGUGAAUUGCAGAAUUCAGUGAAUCAUCGAAUCUUUGAACGCACAUCGCGCCCCUUGGUAUUCCAUGGGGCAUGCCUGUUCGAGCGUCAUUUGUACCCUCAAGCUCUGCUUGGUGUUGGGUGUUUGUCUCGCGGUUCUGCGCAGACUCGCCUUAAAACAAUUGGCAGCCGGCUUGUUAGCCUGGAGCGCAGCACAUUUUGCGAUCCAGAUCAACGUACAGCGGCAUCCAAGAAGCCUUAUUUAACGCUCUUGACCUCGGAUCAGGUAGGGAUACCCGCUGAACUUAAGCAUAUCAAUAAGCGGAGGA